ACGAGUGAAAUCCUCCCCGUCCAUUGUUGUAAGUGUCAAAGCACCGCCUGAAAAGGCUCUCUUGACAACCUAUGGACCUUCAUAGUUUGGAGUCCACUUGCCCCUGGAAUCGGGCGUGAAAGACAAGACUUUCUUGAGCACGAGGUCACCUUCUCGGAACACACGAGGCUUGACCUUCUUGUCGAAUGCUUUCUUCAUUCUCUGCUGAUAUAACUGACCAUGACACAUGGCAGUUAAUCUCUUCUUUUCGAUCAGAUUCACUUGGUCGUAACGACUCUGAAUCCAUUCAGCAUCAGUCAACUUGGGACUUGAGGGUGCUAUUAUUCUUUUGUUUCUUUCUUUCUUUUUCUUUCUUUUGAUUUUGAUUUGAUUUUGCACCCUCUUCUUUCUCUUUUUUUUUUAUUACAUUUGUAAUGCCCCAGUUGGACUGUUUUGCUGAUUCUCGAGAUGUAGCUGAGUGAUAUUCUUUUCUUGCUCAAGAAGUCGGGAAAUCUCGUCAGGAAUCCUUUCAACAUCAUCUUCUUCCGCUUCGAAUACAGGGAAUUCAAAAU
RNAcentral lists this long non-coding RNA (551 nucleotides) under Lathyrus oleraceus (garden pea). RNAcentral's name for it is "Pisum sativum (pea) long non-coding RNA (PSAT_LNC005015)". The record is from RNAcentral. Lineage: Eukaryota; Viridiplantae; Streptophyta; Magnoliopsida; Fabales; Fabaceae.